UUGUGUGAAACUAAUUUAUAGUGCUUCAUUGUUAAUGAAGUUAAGGAAUUUUCUCCCUCACAAU
Molecule: transfer RNA, 64 nt
Filed under: Orthonychiurus folsomi
Lineage: Eukaryota; Metazoa; Arthropoda; Collembola; Poduromorpha; Onychiuridae
Description: tRNA-Asn
Source: RNAcentral